RNAcentral lists this ribosomal RNA (371 nucleotides) under uncultured organism. RNAcentral describes it as "partial 16S ribosomal RNA". It matches the Rfam family "Bacterial small subunit ribosomal RNA", at positions 527 to 896 of the family's 1533-position model. The record is from RNAcentral.
AGAGGGUGCAAGCGUUAAUCGGAUUUACUGGGCGUAAAGCGUGUGUAGGUGGUCGGGAAAGUCAAUUGUGAAAGCCCAGGGCUUAACUCUGGAACUGCUUUUGAUACUGUCUGACUAGAAUUCGGUAGAGGGAGGCGGAACUCCAGGUGUAGCGGUGAAAUGCGUAGAUAUCUGGAAGAACACCAAUGGCGAAGGCAACCUCCUGGGCCUGAAUUGACACUGAGACACGAAAGCGUGGGGAUCAAACAGGGAUUAGAUACCCUGGUAGUCCACGCCGUAAACGAUGACAACUUGACGUCGGUUUGCUCUGCGAAUCGGUGUCGUAGCUAACGCGAUAAGUUGUCCGCCUGGGGAGUACGGCCGCAAGGUUG